GAUGAACGCUAGCUACAGGCUUAACACAUGCAAGUCGAGGGGAAACGACAUCGAAAGCUUGCUUUUGAUGGGCGUCGACCGGCGCACGGGUGAGUAACGCGUAUCCAACCUGCCCACCACUUGGGGGAUAACCUUGCGAAAGUAAGACUAAUACCCAAUGACGUCUCUAGAAGACAUCUGAAAGAGAUUAAAGAUUUAUCGGUGAUGGAUGGGGAUGCGUCUGAUUAGCUUGUUGGCGGGGUAACGGCCCACCAAGGCGACGAUCAGUAGGGGUUCUGAGAGGAAGGUCCCCCACAUUGGAACUGAGACACGGUCCAAACUCCUACGGGAGGCAGCAGUGAGGAAUAUUGGUCAAUGGACGAGAGUCUGAACCAGCCAAGUAGCGUGCAGGAUGACGGCCCUAUGGGUUGUAAACUGCUUUUAUAAGGGAAUAAAGUGAGAGUCGUGACUCUUUUUGCAUGUACCUUAUGAAUAAGGACCGGCUAAUUCCGUGCCAGCAGCCGCGG
Molecule: ribosomal RNA, 506 nt
Filed under: uncultured bacterium
Lineage: Bacteria
Description: bacterial SSU rRNA
Rfam family: Bacterial small subunit ribosomal RNA
Source: RNAcentral